This 801-nucleotide ribosomal RNA is filed under the name Lacticaseibacillus rhamnosus. RNAcentral describes it as "bacterial SSU rRNA". It matches the Rfam family "Bacterial small subunit ribosomal RNA", at positions 65 to 842 of the family's 1533-position model. The record is from RNAcentral. Lineage: Bacteria; Bacillati; Bacillota; Bacilli; Lactobacillales; Lactobacillaceae.
UAUUGAAAGGUGCUUGCAUCUUGAUUUAAUUUUGAACGAGUGGCGGACGGGUGAGUAACACGUGGGUAACCUGCCCUUAAGUGGGGGAUAACAUUUGGAAACAGAUGCUAAUACCGCAUAAAUCCAAGAACCGCAUGGUUCUUGGCUGAAAGAUGGCGUAAGCUAUCGCUUUUGGAUGGACCCGCGGCGUAUUAGCUAGUUGGUGAGGUAACGGCUCACCAAGGCAAUGAUACGUAGCCGAACUGAGAGGUUGAUCGGCCACAUUGGGACUGAGACACGGCCCAAACUCCUACGGGAGGCAGCAGUAGGGAAUCUUCCACAAUGGACGCAAGUCUGAUGGAGCAACGCCGCGUGAGUGAAGAAGGCUUUCGGGUCGUAAAACUCUGUUGUUGGAGAAGAAUGGUCGGCAGAGUAACUGUUGUCGGCGUGACGGUAUCCAACCAGAAAGCCACGGCUAACUACGUGCCAGCAGCCGCGGUAAUACGUAGGUGGCAAGCGUUAUCCGGAUUUAUUGGGCGUAAAGCGAGCGCAGGCGGUUUUUUAAGUCUGAUGUGAAAGCCCUCGGCUUAACCGAGGAAGUGCAUCGGAAACUGGGAAACUUGAGUGCAGAAGAGGACAGUGGAACUCCAUGUGUAGCGGUGAAAUGCGUAGAUAUAUGGAAGAACACCAGUGGCGAAGGCGGCUGUCUGGUCUGUAACUGACGCUGAGGCUCGAAAGCAUGGGUAGCGAACAGGAUUAGAUACCCUGGUAGUCCAUGCCGUAAACGAUGAAUGCUAGGUGUUGGAGGGUUUCCGCCCUUCA